RNAcentral lists this ribosomal RNA (253 nucleotides) under uncultured bacterium. RNAcentral describes it as "partial 16S ribosomal RNA". It matches the Rfam family "Bacterial small subunit ribosomal RNA", at positions 524 to 776 of the family's 1533-position model. The record is from RNAcentral.
CACGUAGGGCGCAAGCGUUGUCCGGAAUUAUUGGGCGUAAAGCGCGCGCAGGUGGUUCCUUAAGUCUGAUGUGAAAGCCCACGGCUCAACCGUGGAGGGUCAUUGGAAACUGGGGAACUUGAGUGCAGAAGAGGAAAGUGGAAUUCCAAGUGUAGCGGUGAAAUGCGUAGAGAUUUGGAGGAACACCAGUGGCGAAGGCGACUUUCUGGUCUGUAACUGACACUGAGGCGCGAAAGCGUGGGGAGCAAACAGG